Molecule: ribosomal RNA, 460 nt
Filed under: uncultured bacterium
Lineage: Bacteria
Description: partial 16S ribosomal RNA
Rfam family: Bacterial small subunit ribosomal RNA
Source: RNAcentral
CCUACGGGAGGCAGCAGUGAGGAAUAUUGGUCAAUGGACGAGAGUCUGAACCAGCCAAGUAGCGUGAAGGAUGACUGCCCUAUGGGUUGUAAACUUCUUUUAUAUGGGAAUAAAAUGUUCCACGUGUGGGAUUUUGUAUGUACCAUAUGAAUAAGGAUCGGCUAACUCCGUGCCAGCAGCCGCGGUAAUACGGAGGAUCCGAGCGUUAUCCGGAUUUAUUGGGUUUAAAGGGAGCGUAGGUGGAUUGUUAAGUCAGUUGUGAAAGUUUGCGGCUCAACCGGAAAAUUGCAGUUGAUACUGGCAGUCUUGAGUACAGUAGAGGUGGGCGGAAUUCGUGGUGUAGCGGUGAAAUGCUUAGAUAUCACGAAGAACUCCGAUUGCGAAGGCAGUUCACUGGACUGCAACUGACACUGAGGCUCGAAAGUGUGGGUAUCAAACAGGAUUAGAUACCCGGGUAGUC